UAUCCGCUCCCUUUCAUAACUUUUUUUAUUUUCUCUUUCAAUCUUUUCAUCGUUCAUUACAAGAAAACGCUGAUUGUGGUUCUCAGUUGUGAAACAAUUGAGAAUGUUAAUGACAAAAUUUAGUCCAGGUAUGUGCAACUCAAGGGUUAGUUGACCAUUAUAUUGUGUGUGCGUAGUCAUAACGAUUUUCUUCUUCGUCCUGAUAAUAUCUCACGCAAGUUACCAAUGCAUGCCUUCUUGGAAACAACUUAGAAGUGGCUGGGGUUUUAUCAAACUGCUCAUUUUAUAUGGGAUCUUUAUACAUGCAGAUUGUGAGGAUAAAUCUUUCUCCUACAAGAGAGUUGGCAUCACAGAUGUACUAUGGUGCUAAGUUACCAAAUGUUAGACAAGGUGAAGUAAGUGUAAGAGCUUAUACGAAUAAGAAAAUUGGGGAGGAAGGAGCAAACUUGAUUAUAGGCACGCCUGGGAGGAUUUACGACAGUAUGAAUCGCAUGCAGAUUUUAGAUUACAUAAGC
Molecule: long non-coding RNA, 515 nt
Organism: Papaver somniferum (opium poppy)
Lineage: Eukaryota; Viridiplantae; Streptophyta; Magnoliopsida; Ranunculales; Papaveraceae
Exons: 3
Source: RefSeq, a predicted model, not a curated record